Molecule: ribosomal RNA, 253 nt
Filed under: uncultured bacterium
Lineage: Bacteria
Description: partial 16S ribosomal RNA
Rfam family: Bacterial small subunit ribosomal RNA
Source: RNAcentral
UACAGAGGGUGCAAGCGUUAAUCGGAAUUACUGGGCGUAAAGCGCGCGUAGGUGGUUUGUUAAGUCGGAUGUGAAAUCCCCGGGCUCAACCUGGGAACUGCAUUCAAAACUGACAAGCUAGAGUAUGGUAGAGGGUGGUGGAAUUUCCUGUGUAGCGGUGAAAUGCGUAGAUAUAGGAAGGAACACCAGUGGCGAAGGCGACCACCUGGACUGAUACUGACACUGAGGUGCGAAAGCGUGGGGAGCAAACAGG